CCUACGGGUGGCAGCAGUGAGGAAUAUUGGUCAAUGGACGCGAGCCUGAACCAGCCAAGCCGCGUGAAGGAUGACGGCCCUACGAGUUGUAAACUUCUUUUGUAAGGGGAUAAAGCCCGGCACGUGUACCGGGUUGAAUGUACCUUAUGAAUAAGGAUCGGCUAACUCCGUGCCAGCAGCCGCGGUAAUACGGAGGAUCCGAGCGUUAUCCGGAUUUAUUGGGUUUAAAGGGUGCGUAGACGGUUUGUUAAGUAAGUGGUGAAAGGUCGGGGCUCAACCCCGAAAUUGCCUUUGAUACUGGCAGACUAGAGGAGAGUAGAGGUAGGCGGAAUGCGUGGUGUAGCGGUGAAAUGCUUAGAGAUCACGCAGAACACCGAUUGCGAAGGCAGCUUACCAAACUAAAACUGACGUUGAGGCACGAAAGCGUGGGUAGCAAACAGGAUUAGAUACCCGGGUAGUC
RNAcentral lists this ribosomal RNA (460 nucleotides) under uncultured bacterium. RNAcentral describes it as "partial 16S ribosomal RNA". It matches the Rfam family "Bacterial small subunit ribosomal RNA", at positions 338 to 795 of the family's 1533-position model. The record is from RNAcentral.